UGGGGCGCUGCUGUACGUGCGCGGCUUUACGGCGACGCGAGGACACACCUGUGAGUUUCUCAACGUUUUCGUCUUAAAUAUCUACUUCUACUUACACCACCGUUUCCGCAUUCGUCGAUGAACGAUGGAGGGUUACGAGGACGACGACGACACACACUUUUGCAUCAAGUGUCACUUGACGAUACACGGAUUGGAAAAUUACGUUCGUCAUCGUCAAUCAGGAUGUCGUCCGCCAGAUGACAAAACAGAAACCGCACGAGAAUCGCCCUCUACGCCAACGACGAUCUCUUAUCCUGAGAUACUGAACGCAGACGCUUUCUUCAGUUCGUUGGAAUUACAGAGCAGCUCGAAAUCGAAUGCCAGACGUACGAACACUCUAUUAGAGAACAACAGAAAAGAAGACAAGAAGAACGAACGCCGAAAGAAAGGACAGAAAAAUCAACCGGAUACCGAGGAUUCCAAAGAAAAACUUCACAGUAUGUUACCCGGUGAUACCGACUUGGACGAUUCCGAGGAACAUCUCUGCAUUCAGUCUUUCGUUGGGUUCACCGAUAUCGUUACUUCCUCCACGCCCAAUAAAUCGACAAAUACCGUAGGUGCGAGUAAAUUGAAUCAAUCGAUUAGACAUACAACGAUGAACAUCGAAGGAUCGAGUUUUCCGAAUAAACACGAGCCGGAUAAUUCUUUGGAAGAUCUUGUCGCUGAAUCGAAACAAACAGAUAGGAAAAGGCCGGAAGAAAAUCCGAGAAUAGAGCAGGAUCAUCAAACGUGGUUAGACGACGCGAUACUGGUCGAUCUCGAUGAAAAUAAGGAUUUGGCUAGGUACGAGGAAUUCGUAUAUCAGGAGGAUGUUGAUUCGGACGAUGACAUGUUAGAUGAGGAUCUCGCCGAAGACGAAUCUUAUUCCGAGUCCGAUGACGGUGAAGAUCAGGAAAGACCACCUAGAGGACACACAGGUGGGAAAUGGAAGCCUGGCUUGAAUGAUCUUCCUCAAGAUAUACCUCAGCUGCAGGAUGACGAAGUGGAAGUCGAAGAGGAUCAACAUUCGGAGCAUCCACCGCCCACUUAUACAGGUGGCAAGUGGAAACCUACGGAAUCAUCUCAGAAAGUCGAGGAUUAUCAGGGGAAGAAUACAGAGGGACAACCACCGCCAGAACAUACGCGAGGAAAAUGGAUACCGGGUGCGCAAACGGAUAUCGACUCGGGAUAUUGGUGCAAUCCUUGCGGCAGGAAGCUUGCGUCGCGAUUGGUCUAUAACAGGCAUCUUCUCUCUGAUUUGCACGCUCGAAGAAGCAUUCGAGAGAUCGACGAUGGUGUUCAUCUACCGCGUGACGCAACCUCAACGAGGAGAAUGUUAACGCGACGGCAAGUCGCACUAGCCGAGAAAAGUAAACGUACAUCCGAGGAUAAAGAAGUCAAGAAGAAUACUCGUAGAAGGGAGAAAGAAGUACUCUCCUGUGAGAUGUGUCACGCUCGCGUGAGAAAAGCUCAAAUGGGCAAACAUUUGCUUUCCCAUUACCAUUGUCGCGUGGCGGGAAUAAAUCCUCGAGGUCCAAAGGCGCGUCGGUUUCUCUUGGAGAACAUGGGGAACGUAGUUCGCCAGUGUCCAUUUCAAUGCGCCGCUUGUCGUUUCUAUUGCAACACUCAGGAAACGUUUUUAAUUCAUUGGCGCUCCGACCUUCAUACCAAGACUUUAGAAAAAAUCAGUGGAAGUUAUCGAUGCGGUUCUUGCGAUUUCUGGUGUGCGGACGGAGACACGAUGGAAACCCACUUAUUAAGCACGAGUCAUUGUGACGUUGUUUCAAUGAUGAACGGUUCGGUACCGGUGGUAAUCAGUCGUCAACAAGCAUUGCCCUGUGGCAGCUGCAACCGUCAAUUCCGAUAUAAUCUGCAGCUGCGACUGCACGUCAAAGAGACAGGACACAAGGAAAGCUUCACAGCAUCGGACCAGUAUCAACGACGUAUCACUUGCAACAUGUGCCCCCAAGUCGUGAGAUCCUUGGUAUCUCUUCAACGCCAUCAGCUAACCUGUCACAUUAACAAGGAAGACGAAAACGACGAAUUGGACGUUUCCACGCAACCAACGCCUUACUUCUGUUCUUUUUGUUCGAUGAACUUUGCUACAGCUCAAGAAGCCGUUCGUCAUAGAAGAACAUCCAAUCACAAGGAGAUUGUUAAAGCCCAAAAAUCCGUUUCCAAAGAAAAUUCCGAAAGCAUGUUUCGAGAUUGUCCGCAUUGCGACGAGAAACAAUCGACUCUCACGGAACACAAAGAUCAUCUUCUUGAUAGACAUCCUGACUUGUGUCACAGGUGUCCACAAUGCGGAAUACUCUUCGCUCUUUCGCAAGACGUAACGAGACACACCAGGGACAACAAGUGCAGCAAGACAAAAGAAGACACCGAGCCUAACACAACGAUUGUUAGGGUAGAAUGGAUAUGCUCAAUUUGUAAUUUCUUAACAGAUUCUCAAGCGGAAUUCAUCUUUCACGAGGCUCUCCAUGAGGGUAGCGUUCAAUCGAACAAAGACGAAGACAAUAAUGGCAAGUCGACCGUCAAAUAUAGGUGUCCCCUCUGUAAAAAGAUCUUCAGAAAAGUAUCUCUAAGGAACCAUAUCAGAAGUCAUACAGGUGAACGACCAUUUUCAUGUGCCAAAUGCUUCGUAUCAUUUGUAAGAAGAUCUGACUUGAAUGCUCAUCAAAGAAAUUGUUCGUCGACUGACUGGCCAAACGAGAUUCGUCGAAAAAGAAGUUUUACCUGUUCGGAAUGUAAUGGCGCCUUUUACACUAAACACGCAUUACGACAACACAUGUAUAGGCAUGCCGGUAAGAAGUACAAAUGCGGUCUUCCGGGUUGUCCUACGGUACUCCGCACAGCUUCCGAGUUAAAGUAUCAUCGUUCGUUGGUUCACGACAGCACGUCCACUAAUAGACGGUUUCCAUGCGGCCAAUGUUCUUACGCGGCCAAAACGAUGAGUCAACUUCGCAGGCAUCUGGUCAGGCACGAGGACUCAAUGAGCGAUGAGAAACUUGGUUAUCAUUGCUGUCCUCACUCUGGUUGCACUUUUAGAACCAGAUUCGGAUUUCAUCUAAGACGACACAUGCGGCUACACACGGGUACCAAGCCGUACAAAUGUCGUUAUUGUACUUACGCCUGCUACAGUCUGACAGGAGCGAAAGUAAAAUUAAAAUUCGGUUAAGGCUCGACAGAUCGAUUCGCUAAUUGGGCAGAAGGUCAAUUAAGGGAAUUUCGAUGUUUCGAGAGAGUAAACUCGAUCUUACCUCGGACAGAAAAAGUCCGAAUCGUUCAACUUGUCCGAUUUUUGUACGGCGAACGAGCCCGUGGGCGUAAAUUAAGGAAAGUACACCUUAACGUUUGGACCGCGUCGAGUUCUCUGCUGGUGCCGGUACCGCCACAACCGUUGCUGCCACCGCCACCACCGACGCCAUCGCCACCGUCGCCACCACCGCCGCCGCCGCCGUCGCCGCCGCCGCCACCGCCGCCACCGCCGCGGACCGCGAUAAGAUAACGAGUUAAUUGUGCUCACUGGAUGCCCACACACGCACGGAAGAAGAGGAAAGCCGGGCCUCUCUCCGGUCAUACCGUGCUGGCCGGACAAUUUGAGAAAGCACAUACUCUCGAAGACUCUUCAUCCCGGCAAGACGAUCUACGAGUGCGACUUUUGCGCAACGGAAACAAAGGAAACGUUUUGCACGAAUUUCGCCAAAGAAUUGCGAGCUCAUCUUCUUGACU
Vespula pensylvanica (western yellowjacket) is the source of this 3750-nucleotide RNA transcript. It is a transcript of the gene named zinc finger protein 7-like, with no coding region annotated. NCBI's taxonomy places the organism in Eukaryota, Metazoa, Arthropoda, Insecta, Hymenoptera, Vespidae. The record is from RefSeq and is a predicted model, not a curated record. The transcript is spliced from 10 exons.